UACGUAGGGUGCAAGCAUUAAUCGGAUUCAUUGGGCGUAAGGAGCGUGUAGGCGGGAAAGAAAGUUAGAUGUGAAAGCCCGGGGCUCAACUCCGGAACUGCAUCUAAAACUCCUUUUCUAGAGGAUGGACGGAGAAAAUGGAAUUCCACGUGUAGCGGUGAAAUGCGUAGAUAUGUGGAAGAACACCAGUGGCGAAAGCGAUUUUCUAGUUUAGACCUGACGCUGAGGCGCGAAAGCUAGGGGAGCAAACAGG
Molecule: ribosomal RNA, 253 nt
Filed under: uncultured bacterium
Lineage: Bacteria
Description: partial 16S ribosomal RNA
Rfam family: Bacterial small subunit ribosomal RNA
Source: RNAcentral